UUCAGAGGUCCCGAGCGUUGUUCGGAUUUACUGGGCGUAAAGGGAGCGUAGGCGGUUCGGUAUGUCGAAUGCGAAAGCCCACAACUCAACUGUGGAAAUGCAUUCGAAACUGCCGGGCUAGAGUACUGGAGAGGAGAGCGGAAUUCUUGGUGUAGCGGUGAAAUGCGUAGAUAUCAAGAGGAACACCGGUGGCGAAGGCGGCUCUCUGGACAGAUACUGACGCUGAGGCUCUAAAGUUAGGGGAGCAAACAGGAUUAGAUACCCU
Molecule: ribosomal RNA, 265 nt
Filed under: uncultured prokaryote
Description: partial 16S ribosomal RNA
Rfam family: Bacterial small subunit ribosomal RNA
Source: RNAcentral